Molecule: ribosomal RNA, 253 nt
Filed under: uncultured bacterium
Lineage: Bacteria
Description: partial 16S ribosomal RNA
Rfam family: Bacterial small subunit ribosomal RNA
Source: RNAcentral
GACGAAGGGGGCUAGCGUUGUUCGGAAUUACUGGGCGUAAAGCGCGUGUAGGCGGUUGUCCAAGUUGGAUGUGAAAGCCUUGAGCUCAACUCAAGAAAUGUAUUCAGGACUGGAUGACUAGAGGACCGGAGAGGAUAGUGGAAUUCCCAGUGUAGUGGUGAAAUACGUAGAGAUUGGGAAGAACACCAGUGGCGAAGGCGGCUAUCUGGACGGUUUCUGACGCUAAGACGCGAAAGCGUGGGGAGCGAACAGG